UAGGGAAUCUUCCGCAAUGGACGCAAGUCUGACGGAGCAACGCCGCGUGAGUGAAGAAGGAUUUCGGUUCGUAAAACUCUGUUGUUAGAGAAGAACAGCGCAUAGAGUAACUGUUAUGCGUGUGACGGUAUCUAACCAGAAAGCCACGGCUAACUACGUGCCAGCAGCCGCGGUAAUACGUAGGUGGCAAGCGUUGUCCGGAUUUAUUGGGCGUAAAGCGAGCGCAGGCGGUCAAUUAAGUCUGAUGUGAAAGCCCCCGGCUCAACCGGGGAGGGUCAUUGGAAACUGGUUGACUUGAGGGCAGAAGAGGGGAGUGGAAUUCCAUGUGUAGCGGUGAAAUGCGUAGAUAUAUGGAGGAACGCCAGUGGCGAAGGCGACUCUCUGGUCUGUAACUGACGCUGAGGCUCGAAAGCGUGGGUAGCAAACAGG
This 429-nucleotide ribosomal RNA is filed under the name Bacteroidota bacterium. RNAcentral's name for it is "Bacteroidetes bacterium partial 16S ribosomal RNA". It matches the Rfam family "Bacterial small subunit ribosomal RNA", at positions 355 to 776 of the family's 1533-position model. The record is from RNAcentral. Lineage: Bacteria; Pseudomonadati; Bacteroidota.